Molecule: ribosomal RNA, 427 nt
Filed under: uncultured bacterium
Lineage: Bacteria
Description: bacterial SSU rRNA
Rfam family: Bacterial small subunit ribosomal RNA
Source: RNAcentral
UGGGGAAUUUCGGACAAUGGGCGCAAGCCUGAUCCAGUCAUGCCGCGUGCAGGAUGAAGGCCUUCGGGUUGUAAACUGCUUUUGUACGGCACGAAAAGACUCCUUCUAAUAAAGGGGGUCCAUGACGGUACCGUAAGAAUAAGCACCGGCUAACUACGUGCCAGCAGCCGCGGUAAUACGUAGGGUGCGAGCGUUAAUCGGAAUUACUGGGCGUAAAGCGUGCGCAGGCGGUUAUGUAAGACAGAGGUGAAAACCCCGGGCUCAACCUGGGAACUGCAUUUGUAACUGCAUAGCUAGAGUACGGCAGAGGGGGAUGGAAUUCCGCGUGUAGCAGUGAAAUGCGUAGAUAUGCGGAGGAACACCGAUGGCGAAGGCAAUCCCCUGGGACUGUACUGACGCUCAUGCACGAAAGCGUGGGGAGCAAACA